GGGCCGGUAGCUCAGCCUGGAAGAGCGCCGCCCUUGCAUGGCUUCCAGGCUGCACCGAGGUCGAGGAAAGGCGGAGGUCCCGGGUUCAAGUCCCGGCCGGUCCA
RNAcentral lists this transfer RNA (104 nucleotides) under Desulfurococcus amylolyticus DSM 16532. RNAcentral's name for it is "tRNA-Ala". It matches the Rfam family "tRNA". Rfam says of the family: Transfer RNA (tRNA) molecules are approximately 80 nucleotides in length. Their secondary structure includes four short double-helical elements and three loops (D, anti-codon, and T loops). Lineage: Archaea; Thermoproteati; Thermoproteota; Thermoprotei; Desulfurococcales; Desulfurococcaceae. The record is from RNAcentral.